RNA transcript from Carya illinoinensis, 2459 nucleotides. It is a transcript of the gene named polyadenylate-binding protein 2-like, with no coding region annotated. The record is from RefSeq and is a predicted model, not a curated record. NCBI's taxonomy places the organism in Eukaryota, Viridiplantae, Streptophyta, Magnoliopsida, Fagales, Juglandaceae. The transcript is spliced from 9 exons.
GCUAGGGUUUGGUGGCACUCACUCUUCCACUGGGUGUGUGUGUCUUUGUCCGUGUAUAAAAGCUAGUCCAUUUCUAACACAAUUGGGUGCGGUGCCGCCAUUGCUGCCCUGCCCUCUCCUUUUACUUUCUUACGCCAUUUUUGUCGUCUCUGUCACACCGUGCGUCGUCGUGUCUCUGCGACACUUUAUCCUCCUUAUUCGCUAGGGAAAAAAAGCACACAAAUUGCGAUAAUUUAACGAAAAUUAUAGAGAAAAAAAGAGAAGAGGGCAGAGAUUUUUGGGAGAAUUUACAGAAUGGCUCAGGUACAAGUUCAGGCGCAGCCUCCGGUUUCAAACGCCGUGGUCAGCAACGGAGUGGGCCAGUUCGUGUCGACGUCAUUGUACGUCGGAGAUCUUGACCAGAACGUGACCGACACGCACCUCUUCGACGUGUUUAGUCAAGUUGGUCUGGUGGUUUCGGUCCGGGUCUGUAGGGACUUGAGCUCCCGACGCUCUCUCGGCUAUGGUUACGUCAAUUACAGCAACCCUCAAGAAGCGGCACGUGCAUUGGAUGCUUUGAAUUUUACUCCUCUCAAUGGCAAGCCAAUCAGAAUUAUGUAUUCUUAUCGUGACCCUAGCAUUCGUAAAAGUGGGGCAGGGAAUAUAUUUAUUAAGAAUUUGGACAAGGCCAUUGAUAACAAAGCACUACAAGAGACAUUUUCAACAUUUGGGAAUAUCUUAUCUUGCAAGAUAGAAACUGAUCAGUCGGGUCAGUCAAAAGGAUAUGGUUAUGUGCAAUUUGAUAAUGAAGAUUCUGCUAAAAAUGCCAUUGAAAAGCUGAAUGGCAUGCUAUUGAAUGACAAACAAGUUUUUGUUGGACCCUUUCUGCGCAAGCAGGAAAGAGAUUCUACUUCAGAUAGGAACAAAUUCAACAAUGUCUAUGUGAAAAACUUUUCCGAAUCCACUACUGAGGAAGAGCUGAAGGAAAUCUUUGGUGAUUUUGGAACUAUUACCAGCGUUGUAGUUAUGAGAGAUGGAGAUGGAAAAUCCAAGUGUUUUGGAUUUGUCAACUUUGAAAACUCUGAUGACGCAGCUCGAUCUGUUGAGGCCCUUAAUGGGAAGAAGUUUGAAGAUAAGGAGUGGUAUGUUGGGAAAGCCCAGAAAAAAUCUGAAAGAGAGGUUGAAUUGAAAGGGGGAAUCGAGCAAAAUUUGAAGGAGAAGGUUGACAAAUAUGAAGGACUGAAUUUAUAUGUUAAAAACCUAGAUGAUAGCAUCACUGAUGAUAAGCUAAGGGAAUUGUUCUCAGAAUUUGGUACGAUUACUUCAUGCAAGGUCAUGUGUGACCCUAAUGGUAUAAGUAGAGGAUCAGGAUUUGUAGCUUUCUCAAAUGCUGAAGAAUCAUCUCGAGCUCUCUCAGAGAUGAAUGGUAAAAUGGUUUCCAGCAAACCACUGUAUGUGGCACUUGCUCAACGUAGAGAAGAUAGAAGAGCAAAGUUGCAGGCACAGUUUUCACAAAUUCGUCCUGCUGGAAUGGCAAUUCCGGUGGCCCCUCGAAUGCCCUUGUAUCCCCCGGGGGCUCCAGGUCUUGGACAGCAACUAUUCUAUGGUCAAGGCCCUCCUGCUAUCAUCCCUCCACAACCUGGAUUUGGGUAUCAGCAGCAAUUGGUUCCUGGGAUGAGGCCAAACUUUUUUGUCCCAAUGGUCCAACCAGGUCAGCAGAGCCAGCGUCCUGGUGGCAGACGGUCUGGAGCAGGGACAAGUCAACCAAAUCAGCAAGCACUCCCACUAAUGCAGCCACAGAUGCUUCCUAGGGGACGUGCCUAUCGUUACCCUCCUGGUCGUAACAUGCCUGAUGCUUCCUUUGCUGGUGUUUCUGGGGGCAUGCUCUCUACUCCAUAUGACAUGGGUGGAAUGCCAUUUACCUAUGGCAACUGGGGCUUUGGCCACUGCACUUGCUAAUGCAACACCCGAGAAGCAGAGGACUUUGCUGGGUGAAAAUUUAUACCCACUGGUGGACCAGUUGGAACAUGAAAACGCUGCAAAGGUGACUGGCAUGCUACUGGAGAUGGACCAGACUGAGGUUUUGCAUUUACUGGAAUCACCGGAGGCCUUGAAAGUGAAGGUUGCUGAGGCCAUGGAGGUGUUGAGGAAUGUAAAUCAGCAGCAGCAAUUAAAUACUCCAAAUGAUCGGAUGGCCUCACUGUCGCUAAGUGACACCCUUGUUUCUUGAGUUUUGUAGGUGGGGUAGCCUGGCCAGGCUUUAUUAGCACUAUAUUUAAUAUAAGUUAUUUGUCUGCAGAGUUUCUUAAGAAUAGAACCUGAAUUUAAUCGGCAUUGAACUGUACAUGUAUGGUGGCUUAGAGUGGCAUUGAACCGUGCAUGUAUGUUUCUUGAGUUUUGGGAUCGUUUUGGAUGCCUUUGAUCAAUACCUUCAAACUGUUGUCUGCUUUAUGAAAGAUGCUAUUAUUUUGGGCCCAAAA